Molecule: ribosomal RNA, 253 nt
Filed under: uncultured bacterium
Lineage: Bacteria
Description: partial 16S ribosomal RNA
Rfam family: Bacterial small subunit ribosomal RNA
Source: RNAcentral
UACGAGGGGGGCGAGCGUUGUUCGGAAUUAUUGGGCGUAAAGGGCUCGUAGGCGGCCAACUAAGUCAGACGUGAAAUCCCUCGGCUUAACCGGGGAACUGCGUCUGAUACUGGAUGGCUUGAGUUCGGGAGAGGGAUGUGGAAUUCCAGGUGUAGCGGUGAAAUGCGUAGAUAUCUGGAGGAACACCGGUGGCGAAGGCGGCAUCCUGGACCGACACUGACGCUGAUGAGCGAAAGCCAGGGGAGCAAACAGG